GCGGGGGCUCCGGGUUGGACACUUCAAACUCUUGCGUAACUUUGCAGUCUGAGUAAACUUAAUUAAUAAAUUAAAACUUUUAACAACGGAUCUCUUGGUUCUGGCAUCGAUGAAGAACGCAGCGAAAUGCGAUAAGUAAUGUGAAUUGCAGAAUUCAGUGAAUCAUCGAAUCUUUGAACGCACAUUGCGCCCCCUGGUAUUCCGGGGGGCAUGCCUGUUCGAGCGUCAUUUCACCACUCAAGCCUCGCUUGGUAUUGGGCAACGCGGUCCGCCGCGUGCCUCAAAUCGUCCGGCUGGGUCUUCUGUCCCCUAAGCGUUGUGGAAACUAUUCGCUAAAGGGUGUUCGGGAGGCUACGCCGUAAAACAACCCAUUUCUAAGGUUGACCUCGGAUCAGGUAGGGAUACCCGCUGAACUUAAGCCUUAUUCAU
Molecule: ribosomal RNA, 429 nt
Filed under: Cladosporium herbarum
Lineage: Eukaryota; Fungi; Ascomycota; Dothideomycetes; Cladosporiales; Cladosporiaceae
Description: eukaryotic LSU rRNA
Rfam family: 5.8S ribosomal RNA (bases 75-228)
Source: RNAcentral